UACUUAAAUUUUAAUAUUAUUUUUUUUAUUUAUUAUUUUUCUUUAAUAAAAAUAAUUUAUUUUUUAGUAAUGUUUUAUGAAUUAAUUAUUAUUUAUUAUAGUUUAUUUGUACUGUAAAGGGUUUAUUUUUUUUAUUUAUAAGUAUACUUUGUGUAGUACCUUUUGUAUCAGGGUUUAUUUAAAUUUACUUAAUUAUGUUAAGUUUCCCGAAAGUAAAAGAUAUAAGGUUUUAUAAUUUUUUAUGUUUCAUAAUAAUUUUUAAUAUUAUCUUAGGGAUUAUAUGUUAUUCAUUUUUACAUAUCUGGUUCUUUAAUAAAUUAAUUUAAUUUAGGAUAUUUAUAGUUUAUUUAUAUUUUUAUUUUAUUUAAAUUUAAAUAUCCAAGGUUACUGGGGAUAAGCUUGGUAUCUAUUUCUAUAAUAUUAAUUUUAUUUAAAUUUUGUAGGUUUAGUAACAUCCAUCUUUAAUUUCGUUAUAGUUUAGUUUAUUUGAAGUUUUAUUUUGUAUUAUUUAGUUUUUUAUUAAAGUUAAUUAUUUAAUUUUAUAUUAUUUGUAUUAAUGAUAAAAUUAGUAGAUUAUAAAUUUAAAUUUAGUAAUUCGGCAAUUAUUACCUCCGCCUGUUUAACAAAAACAUGUCUUAUUGUUAAUAAUUUUAAGUCUAGCCUGCUCAAUGAAUAUUUAUUUUAAUAGCCAUAGUAUUUUAACUAUGCAAAGGUAGCAUAAUCAUUUGUCUUUUAAUUGAAGGCUUGUAUGAAGGGUUUGACGAGGGGUAGACUUUCUUAAUUUAAAUUUAAUUAAACUUAACUUCUAGGUAAAAAGGCUUAGAUAUAGUUUUGGGACGAGAAGACCCUAUAGAAUUUUAUUAUUAUAUUUUAUUUUUGUUAUUAUAUUAAUAAGAGUUAUUUGUAAUAAUUUUGUUGGGGUGACAGUGGAAUUUUUUUAACUUCUAUUAUUUAUAUUUCAUUAAUUAGUGUUUUAUUGAUCCUUUAUUAUGGAUUAUAAGAUUAAAUUACCUUAGGGAUAACAGCGUAAUUUUUUUGGAGAGUUCUUAUCGAUGAAAUAGUUUGCGACCUCGAUGUUGGAUUAAAGUUAAUUAUUAGUGCAGAAAUUAAUAAAUUAGGUCUGUUCGACCUUUAAAUCUUUACAUGAUCUGAGUUCAGACCGGCGUGAGCCAGGUUGGUUUCUAUCUAUAAUUUUUAUUAAAUAGUUUAGUACGAAAGGAUCCACUAUUUUUAAUAUUUAAUUAAUACUUGAUUUAUAUUAA
This 1262-nucleotide ribosomal RNA is filed under the name Physopelta gutta (gutta bug). Its description in RNAcentral is "16S ribosomal RNA". The stretch from base 1018 to 1176 matches the Rfam family "Archaeal large subunit ribosomal RNA", at positions 2542 to 2701 of the family's 2987-position model. Lineage: Eukaryota; Metazoa; Arthropoda; Insecta; Hemiptera; Largidae. The record is from RNAcentral.